RNAcentral lists this long non-coding RNA (2063 nucleotides) under Zostera marina. RNAcentral's name for it is "long non-coding RNA (ZMAR_LNC000192)". Lineage: Eukaryota; Viridiplantae; Streptophyta; Magnoliopsida; Alismatales; Zosteraceae. The record is from RNAcentral.
UCAACCAACCAUUCAUGAAAAUGUGUUGACGUAAAUCGGCAAUUGGAAUCACAUUUCUAUUGGUACAGUCUGUACAUGGACAUGGUAAAUAUCCUUCCUUAUAUAAACCAUGACAUUUUCGUAAACCAUAUUGAACAAACGCCGUGAGACCAUCUCUGAAUUCUUGGCUACAGAGGCUCAAACUUAACCAAGUCUUAUCAGGUACGCGGAUUUUUGACAUUCAGCUGAAAUACAUACAAUUAUAAUUGAUUAAUAACCAAUUAUUGAAAAACUAACUAACAAUCACACUUAUACAAAAUCUGCUGAUUGUUACUUUUUUUUAAUUAUUAAUUAAUUAAAUAAUUAUUUAAAUUUAAUUAAAUAAUUAUUUAUUUAAUUAUUAAUUAAAUAAAUGAUUUUAAUUUUUAAAUAAUUGUUUUCAACAUUGGAUUUUAAAUCAAGUUCUUAAUAUACAAACUGAUUUAUGGAUUUUCCAAUAUUUUCUUAAUUAAUUAUUAAUUAUUAGUUAAUUAAAUAAAUAAAUAAUUAAUAAUUAAUAAUUGAUUAAUUAACAAUUAUUGAAAAACUAACUAACAAUCACACUUACAAAAUCUGAUUGUUACUUUUUUUUAAUUAUUAAUUAAUUAAAUAAUUAUUUAAAUUUAAUUAAAUAAUUAUUUAUUUAAUUAUUAAUUAAAUAAAUGAUUUUAAUUUUUAAAUAAUUGUUUUCAACAUUGGAUUUUAAAUCAAGUUCUUAAUAUAAAAACUGAUUUAUGGAUUUUCCAAUAUUUUCUUAAUUAAUUAUUAAUUAUUAGUUAAUUAAAUAAAUAAUUAAUUAAUAAUUAAUAAUUGAUUAAUUAACAAUUAUUGAAAAACUAACUAACAAUCACACUUACAAAAUCUGAUUGUUACUUUUUUUUAAUUAUUAAUUAAUUAAAUAAUUAUUUAAAUUUAAUUAAAUAAUUAUUUAUUUAAUUAUUAAUUAAAUAAAUGAUUUUAAUUUUUAAAUAAUUGUUUUCAACAUUGGAUUUUAAAUCAAGUUCUUAAUAUAAAAACUGAUUUAUGGAUUUUCAAUAUUUUUUUAAUUAAUUAUUAAUUAUUAGUUAAUUAAAUAAAUAAUUAAUUAAUAAUUAAUAAUUGAUUAAUCAACAAUUAUUGAAAAACUAACUAACAAUCACACUUACAAAAUCUGAUUGUUACUUUUUUUUAAUUAUUACUUAAUUAAUUAUUUAAAUUUAAUUAAAUAAUUAUUUAUUUAAUUAUUAAUUAAAUAAAAACAUUACCAUCCAAACCUAACCCUAACAUGGCAUUUCUAAACAUUACCAUCCUAACCCUAACCCUAACAUGGUAUUUCUAAACAUUACAAUCACAUAGAAAAUUACAAUCACAUUAUUCAAUAUGGCAUUUCUAAACAUGGCAUUUCUAAAUAUGGCAUUUCUAAACAUGGCAUUUCUAAACAUGCAUUUCAUUUCUAAACAUGGCAUUCUAAUCUACAAUCCUAACCUUAACCCUAAUUUCUAAACAUGCAUUUCAUUUUUUAAUGUCUAACAUUAUCAAUUGAACUAAUGUCCGCAAAUUUAAUGCCAAAAAUUUAAAAUUCAUAAAUUAUUACAUUGAUGAACCGCAAAUGAUUUUGAAUUAUCCGCAACAAAAAUUCUUCAAAUUCCAGCAACCCUAAAAAAAAAUUUCCAACAAAAAUUUACUUUUAAUUUAAAUUCCAGCAUCCAUAUUAACCAUUAAAUUAAAAUUCCAGUAACAAAAUUAAAAAAAAAUUCCAGCAACAAAAAACAAAUAAAAAUUCCAGCAACCAUUAUCUUCAAAUUAUAAUUCCAACAACCAUACAUUAACCCUUAAAUUCAUAUUCCAGCAAACAAAAAAUAAUCACAAAUCAUUAACCCCCAAAUCACAAAUCAAAAGACAAAUCACAAUGCAUGAAAAGUUUGAUUUAAAAUUGGAAAGUAACCCCAUAUAAAAAACCACCAAAUCAUAAACCACCCAAUCAAAAACAACAAAAAAAUAAGAGAACAAGAUGAAAAUAAUGUAAACCAUACCUUGAAGAUAAUUUCGACAAUGACCGGAGAGAA